GACGAACGCUGGCGGCGUGCUUAACACAUGCAAGUCGAACGGAAAGGCCAUGCUCUUGCGGGGCGCACGUGUGCCGCACGCGGGAGUAACACGUGUGUAACCUGUCCCUGUCUUUGGGAUAACUUCAGGAAAAAGGGGAUCAUAUCGCAUAGGAGAUCCUGAAGCACGGGGGGGGAUGGUAAGAUUCGGCGGUUGUGGAUAGACUAGCGGCUUAUCAGCUUGUUGGUGGGGUUGUGGCUUACCAAGGCUAUGACGGGUAGCCGGCAUGAGAGCGUGACCGGCCACAUUGGGACUGAGGUACGGCGCAGUCUCCUAUGGGAGGCAGCAGUGGGGAAUAUUGCACAAUGGGCGGAAGCCUGAUGUAGCAGCGCCGCGUGCGGGAUGACGGCCUUCUAGUUGUAAACCGCUGUCGCCGUUGACGAAGCGUGCGUGACGGUAAUGAAUAAAGAAGCACCGGCUAACUACGUG
RNAcentral lists this ribosomal RNA (468 nucleotides) under uncultured bacterium. RNAcentral's name for it is "partial 16S ribosomal RNA". It matches the Rfam family "Bacterial small subunit ribosomal RNA", at positions 28 to 507 of the family's 1533-position model. The record is from RNAcentral.